CGAACGACGGCAAGAUACUCGACGAUCCAAAGCAGUAUCGCUCGAUCUUCAGCGCGAUUGACGGCGACACCAUGAAGGUGGCCUGGCAGGUGAUCGUCAGCGGCAAUCUAACGUCGAUGCCGACUACCAGGGCAAGUACGCCUUCUCCACCUGCUACAAUUCGGAAGAGGGCGUCACCCUCGCAGAUAUGACCGCCAAGGAGCAGGACUGGGUCACGAUCUUCAACAUCAAGCGCAUCGAAGAGGCGGUGAAGAAGGGGGACUUCAAGGAAAUCAACGGCGUGCCUGUCAUCGAUGGUCGCAAGGGCUCGCCCUAU
Molecule: unclassified non-coding RNA, 316 nt
Filed under: Hevea brasiliensis (rubber tree)
Lineage: Eukaryota; Viridiplantae; Streptophyta; Magnoliopsida; Malpighiales; Euphorbiaceae
Source: RNAcentral